CCCGUUCCCUCAGCCGCCGCACUCCACCUAUGUUCCCCUGCCGGCUCCCGAUCUAGAGCUUCCCUCUCCGCUCCCCUAUGCGUCGGGCCCCUCCGGACGACCCCAACUGCUGCGGCUAGACGACAUUCGGCGCCGUCCAUGACGGGCCCUUCCUCGGUCGCAGUCGACCAGCACAUGGACGGCGAACCCCAUGAUGCUCUGGCCAUCUCAACUAGAUCGCCGCUGACAUCUUCGGCCGGCAGCGAGCCAUGGUGAGGUACAGGGCGCCGUCGUCAUCACGGAUGCGGAGUACAGGGCGCGACCGCCACGGAUCCAGCCUCUGCUUCACCGACGCGGCCCCCUUCUCUGUUGUAUCUCGUGGCUACUGAUCCAUCUUUGACCGGCAGCGAGCCAUGGUGAGGUACAGGGCGGCGCCGCCGUCACGGAUGCUGUGUACAGGACGCCACCGACACGAAUCUAGCCUCUGCUUCACCGAUGCAGCCCCCUUCUCUGUUGCAUCUGCCGGCUAGGUAAUACUCUAAAGCUUGGUUGUUGGCGUUGUUUGCCUUUUGCCCGUGCUCUGAUUUAAGAAUUUUUAUGCAUCCUGGAAUACUUGAGAUGGAUGUGCAUCUUGACACGCAACUUAUUGUACAUGUAGACUUUGUAACCAAGAAUUUAGUGGUGUUUGGUGAGGCACCUUAUGCAGGAUUAUGAAUCUUCAUAUUCUUUAAUUAUAAUUUUGCUAAAAGUGAGUACUCUGGUUAAUAAUGUUCGAAUGAUAUACACAUGUUGUCAACUGGUCCAAGUCUCUGUACAAGUUUCAAUACAUGAAAUUUUCAAGUGAUUAAAUGUAUUGAUGUAUGUUCUGACAUCUUAAUGUAGAGCGGCCGGAUAUUUUAUUGACAGAACUGUGAGAUAGAUUUAGUGGCUCACUUGUCUUAUGCAUAGUAAACACAUUACCAUGCUUAUAAAUAAUUCAUUUAAUCACAUCUGACUGAAACAUGGAGUCCAUCUAAUGGCCUCAUGUUCCCUUCUCUAUUAGUAUUUUAUAUUGACUGGUUCCUUCAUAAUGUGGUUAGGUACUUGCGAAACUGUAUAGUUUAUGGCUACAACUUGAAGGUCCUUAUUUGGGUCUCGUCCAAAAAAAUGGAGCUGGAAAUUUUCCAUGCGAGCCUAAUUUUUAGAAUCAUGUUUUCAGUUUAUUCUGACUAGAAAUGUCCAGUGUGUGUUCCAUGAUGGUAACUCCAAAUAUGAUAUUUUUGGUCCUGUAGGUAUUUUCCAUGUAAAAAUAUAUACUUUGCUGUCUGUGUGCUUGGCUUUGUGCUAUUCAUAUCGAUGUUUAUAUAGGUGGAUUGUACAUUCUGAAUAUUUUCUUUGGAUAUUUUACCUGCUAUAAUAUGAUCAUUAAGCACCAUGCAUAUGGAUUAUACCUUUCGUCUAUUUGAGCAUCUCCUUCAGGCUGGGUGUGUACUUAGAAAAUGGAGAAAUGUACUCCUUAGAGAUCGACAUGUAAGUGUAAUUUUCAUCUACUUUGUUGAUGUAGUGUGUCUCUUCAUUCUGAGAUUGUGGGCGUAUUAUAAAUUGAGUUUGUUUGCUAUGUGCUCUGCCUAAGUUAUGUGAUUCAUGAAUCUGAAGAUAAAAAACUUCACAAGUUGCAACCCUGCCUAAACUACAUUUUGAUUGUCAACAUUUUUUUAGUUGAGAAAGUAAUAAGGUUCAAAAUAUUAGUUGUAGACAGUGAAUGAAAAUUAAUCUUUUAUCAUUCGUUUAACUUACCAGGAGUGUUUAGUAAGUAUAUGGUUGCUUCAGCUUUUCCCUAUUAUUGUAUAGAAAAGUUCAUUUGAAGAGGAGGUUUGGAAUAAGGAAAUGAUUAACCUGUAGGAUGGAGGUAUUCUUAUGUAGUGAAAUAAUUUUCUAACAAUCCUAUUCAUUUGUGAAAAAACAAAAUAUACCAUUGUGAGGAAGUACAUGAUAAAUCACUUAGCUGUUUAAAAGCAUACUUUAUUAGGCCUGAAAAAAUUCUAACAUAAUUUUAUUUUUAUGUUUGACAUAACCAUAUAUAUAUUUCAGUACAUAUCAGUUGUGUCACCCUAACUUCAGUAAUAAAUGCUUUUAUGUAAUUUUUUUGUGUCUACACUACUUUGUCUAAAUUAGUAGUGAUGAUUAUGAUUUGGUGGUGUUAGAUUCUAAAGGACCUUUUGUUUGUAGGCUAUUGCUAUGUUGUUGCAUUGCAAAUCUGGAUGACCACAUAUCUCUUAUGAGAUUUGGAUAUUGAAUAAACCACCACCCUGUCCACUAUGGAAAGAUGGGGUUUGCUGGACUCCAAUGAGCAUUACGGUGUCCUUUUUGGAGAGAAUGAGCAUUAUGGUGUUGGAGCGGAAAUGAUGCAAAGGGCAUUUGUGGCUAGUUUGUAAUUUUUUUUUUCUGGGAACUGUUUUUCUUACGUUCCUGGUUGUAAUUAUUUUUUUCUGUAAUUUGUAUUUGAUUAAAUUUUUUAAGGGAAUUCUUUUGUUAGAUAUGUUCAGAAAUCUAUUAAGUACACAUUGGAUCAAAAUGUUUGGGCUAUUGAUAUGGUUAAAAUCUAUGGGCUAAAAUGGGCUAUGAAUGUAAUCAGGUAGAAUGUAAU
RNAcentral lists this long non-coding RNA (2605 nucleotides) under Triticum aestivum (bread wheat). RNAcentral's name for it is "long non-coding RNA (TAES_LNC023329)". Lineage: Eukaryota; Viridiplantae; Streptophyta; Magnoliopsida; Poales; Poaceae. The record is from RNAcentral.